CUAUAUGUACCCUGUAGAACCGAAUUUGUGUGGAGUACAAGCAUUCGCAAAUACGUCUCUACAGGAAUACAUGGG
RNAcentral lists this microRNA precursor (75 nucleotides) under Oryzias latipes (Japanese medaka). RNAcentral describes it as "mir-10 microRNA precursor family". It matches the Rfam family "mir-10 microRNA precursor family". From Rfam's summary of the family: In this case the mature sequence comes from the 5' arm of the precursor. The extents of the hairpin precursors are not generally known and are estimated based on hairpin prediction. The products are thought to have regulatory roles through complementarity to mRNA. RNAcentral also lists the same sequence under 2 other names. The record is from Rfam by way of RNAcentral. Lineage: Eukaryota; Metazoa; Chordata; Actinopteri; Beloniformes; Adrianichthyidae.